GAUGAACGCUAGCUACAGGCUUAACACAUGCAAGUCGAGCGGACCUCUUCGGAGGUCAGCGGCGGACGGGUGAGUAACACGUGGGCAACCUGCCUGUAAGACUGGGAUAACUCCGGGAAACCGGAGCUAAUACCGGAUACUAUGUCAAACCGCAUGGUUUGACAUUCAAAGACGGUUUCGGCUGUCACUUACAGAUGGGCCCGCGGCGCAUUAGCUAGUUGGUGAGGUAACGGCUCACCAAGGCGACGAUGCGUAGCCGACCUGAGAGGGUGAUCGGCCACACUGGGACUGAGACACGGCCCAGACUCCUACGGGAGGCAGCAGUAGGGAAUCUUCCGCAAUGGACGAAAGUCUGACGGAGCAACGCCGCGUGAGUGAUGAAGGUUUUCGGAUCGUAAAACUCUGUUGUCAGGGAAGAACAAGUGCCGGAGUAACUGCCGGCGCCUUGACGGUACCUGACCAGAGAGCCACGGCUAACUACGUGCCAGCCGCCGCCGUAA
RNAcentral lists this ribosomal RNA (500 nucleotides) under uncultured bacterium. Its description in RNAcentral is "partial 16S ribosomal RNA". It matches the Rfam family "Bacterial small subunit ribosomal RNA", at positions 28 to 523 of the family's 1533-position model. The record is from RNAcentral.